AAAACGGCCCUUUUUAGGGCCACUACAAAAUGAUUAACUGCCUUAGU
Molecule: non-coding RNA, 47 nt
Organism: Trichobilharzia regenti
Lineage: Eukaryota; Metazoa; Platyhelminthes; Trematoda; Strigeidida; Schistosomatidae
Source: Rfam